CGACAGACAUUUCGCAAACUUCAGUGUUAUCGUUAUCAUUUUUUGUCCUCUAAGACAGCUUUUGUCAGGUUGGCAUCAUGAUUAAAUGCGACAAUCGUUUUUUUGGCCCAGCGAAAAUGGUCCAUCCUUGAAGAUGAGGAAUUCGAAUUGGCUUAGAAAACAGUGCAGGAAUUCACAGCAACAUUGGCAUUUGUAGUACUCAUUGGAAGAGACCAUGGUAGUGAUCGUGGACGGAUCUGAUGGAUUAUCAGCAGCCAUUUCUUCGAAACAUUUUAAUGGGGUGUACAAAAGAUCUGCUAGAAAUCAAGCUAGCAGUGGAAUGUGGCACACCUAUUUCAGGGAAUCAAAAGGUUGGACAAAAGUUCAACCAUCGCUCAUAUGGUCCUACAGAUGAAACUGAAAGCUCCCACUGCCCAUGAGAAUACGCAAGAGAAUGGCAACUUCUUGAUGUUCUAUGCCCAGCACGUAUAUUCAGCAACCUGGGUGAUAAUUUUCUGCAGUCCAAGAAGUGUGUCUUGAACGGAACAGGUGAGGCUUCCCAAGAUGGUGAUGGAUUGGCAACUGGAGAAUGUUCGAGGCAUACGAUGGAGGGGACGAUGCCUUACUUGCUGGAUGGACGCUAUAGCCUGUGAUGCAGAGAGCACGGAAGUUCAAGAGCAAGAGAGGUGUUGACACAGACAGCUCAGAACUGUUAUGCCUGGAGGGCUGUGGUGGUACAGUUGACAUAGAAAUGUAAAGUCGCAGGAGUGAGUGGUCCAAGACUGGAAAGUGUUCAAAAACAGCACCUGAGCAGGGUAAAAUUGGAGACUUUCGUCAGGAUCGUGGCAACAAGAUGCAACGUGGCCAACUGUUGGCAGCUCAAAACUGGAGCCAAGCAGGUCUGAUCAGGACAAAAGUUCAACCAUCGCUCAUAUGGUCCUACAGAUGAAACUGAAAGCUCCCACUGCCCAUGAGAAUACGCAAGGGAAUGGCAACUUCUUGAUGUUCUAUGCCCAGCACGUAUAUUCAGCAACCUGGGUGAUAAGU
This is an RNA transcript of Lineus longissimus, 1026 nucleotides long. RefSeq lists it as uncharacterized. The record is from RefSeq and is a predicted model, not a curated record. The transcript is spliced from 6 exons. NCBI's taxonomy places the organism in Eukaryota, Metazoa, Nemertea, Pilidiophora, Heteronemertea, Lineidae.